UACGAAGGGGGCUAGCGUUGCUCGGAAUUACUGGGCGUAAAGGGCGCGUAGGCGGCACUGUUAGUCAGGCGUGAAAGUCCUGGGCUCAACCUGGGAACUGCGCUUGAUACGGCAGAGCUAGAGGAUGGAAGAGGCUCGCGGAAUUCCCAGUGUAGAGGUGAAAUUCGUAGAUAUUGGGAAGAACACCGGUGGCGAAGGCGGCUCACUGGCCCGAUACUGACGCUGAGGCACGAAAGCGUGGGGAGCAAACAGG
RNAcentral lists this ribosomal RNA (253 nucleotides) under uncultured bacterium. RNAcentral describes it as "partial 16S ribosomal RNA". It matches the Rfam family "Bacterial small subunit ribosomal RNA", at positions 524 to 776 of the family's 1533-position model. The record is from RNAcentral.